CGUAUGAAGUACGUUUCACCUCGGGUGACAGGGAGACGAGGUGGUGCAUGGUUGUCGUCAGCUCGUGUCGUGAGAUGUUGGGUUAAGUCCCGCAACGAGCGCAACCCUCGACCUUAGUUGCCAGCAUUCAGUUGGGCACUCUAAGGUGACUGCCGGCUAAAAGUCGGAGGAAGGUGGGGACGACGUCAAAUCAUCAUGCCCCUUAUGACCUGGGCUACACACGUGCUACAAUGGGCGGUACAAAGGGUCGCGAACCCGCGAGGGGGGAGCCAAUCCCAAAAAAGCCGCUCUCAGUUCGGAUUGCAGGCUGCAACUCGCCUGCAUGAAGCCGGAAUCGCUAGUAAUCGCGGAUCAGCAUGCCGCGGUGAAUACGUUCCCGGGCCUU
This 385-nucleotide ribosomal RNA is filed under the name uncultured Anoxybacillus sp. RNAcentral's name for it is "bacterial SSU rRNA". It matches the Rfam family "Bacterial small subunit ribosomal RNA", at positions 998 to 1382 of the family's 1533-position model. Lineage: Bacteria; Bacillati; Bacillota; Bacilli; Caryophanales; Anoxybacillaceae. The record is from RNAcentral.